Molecule: long non-coding RNA, 240 nt
Filed under: Struthio camelus australis
Lineage: Eukaryota; Metazoa; Chordata; Aves; Struthioniformes; Struthionidae
Description: lncRNA (ENSSCUG00000006508.1)
Source: RNAcentral
UCCCUACGUGUGUUUUUCAUUUACUCCGAUCCAUCUCUGGCUGUUGAUUUCUCCUUCCUGUAGGAAGGCUGUCUGAUCGACGUAUUAGCUGUUGGUCACACGCAUCUGGCCCGAAAACAGCAGGCAUCUGAAACUGCUUGGACCUGCUGGAGUCCACCUGGUCGAUCCACGGAUGCUGUAAACUGGUUGCUGACCAAAGAGUGGGAGAACUCCAGGAUUCCUCCCCAGAAAAGAGUGCCU